UGCUCGUUUUCUCAGCUCGUUGCCCCCGAAAAGGUAAACUUUUCCUUAACCUUAACUCGUUUGUUGGAUGUUUUGUUUUAUGAACUGAAACUUUUCCAUGGAUUCUUUACCCUUCCUUGCUCGAGUACCUGCUUCUUUUCUUAGUUCACUUUGUUGUUUAAUGUUUAGUUGGCUUAGUUCGAGUUGAUCUAUUUUAGUUGUUUGUAGCAUGGAACAUGUCUCUGUAUAGGUCUUAUG
Molecule: long non-coding RNA, 237 nt
Filed under: Solanum tuberosum (potato)
Lineage: Eukaryota; Viridiplantae; Streptophyta; Magnoliopsida; Solanales; Solanaceae
Description: long non-coding RNA (STUB_LNC005856)
Source: RNAcentral